UGAUUAUACUCAAUAUGCUUCACAAUCACCUUUUCAUCUGUGGUUUCCACUGUAAUCUGUUCAUGGCUAUAGAAUGAUAAUAUUGAGCUAUAUAAUAUAGAUGCAAAAUACUGAAGAAUAAUGUGAAGGCCCUUUCUAAAGAUUUAACCUUUAAAAUCUUCAUCUGGAGUUAAGAGUUUCUACCUUCCUGGCAUAGUGAUAAAUCCUCUCACUUUCACUGCAUCAGGGAAGAGAACAGAAUCACACUUUUUAAUGAAAAGCUUGGGAAUUGGCCCAAGAUCAAACCGGUGGCUUACACGCCGUUUUCUCACUCUGUUUCAUUUGCAGCGUUUUAGUAGAAGGUAAAAAGGCAGGGCAAAAACACCUGAAACGCCGUGUUUUUGUGGGGGUAGACAGAUAAGCUGCCACGCAGAGAAAUCUCUGUUUUUAGGGCCUGCGUGGAACCUUAAAAAGCCACCAAGUCCUAGAGGGUUAACGGACAGGAAACUGCGGUUGCAGCCGCUCCUAAGGAAGUCAGUUUUUGUGUAACAGCCUGGAGCAGGCCGAGAGGUGGGGGCCGGAGGGUCUCGGUGUCUGGGCUGACAUCGAUAUUUUUGGUUUUGGCUCCGCAGCGUUUUAAACACGGGGAAGGGCACGCGCCGAGUGGCAGCAGCUCCUCCGUGACAAAGCGAUUUCUAUUCCACAGCAGCUUUUCUGGGGGGGGGAAACGAGACGUGAAUUUUUCCUGUCUGAGGCUCGUUUUCCCCCACCAAGGCUCAGCUUAUCUAGAGAAAUCACAGUGUAGGUACGCGGUCGCAGCGGCACAUGUCAAUAUAUUUAAAUUCUGGAACAGGAGAACUCUUCUCUGAAUUCCGAGCCCAUUAAUUUCAGUCCCCGCUGAGCAUGUUCACUUUCGGCUUGGCUGAAGAGGAAAUAAAGGCAGAGCAGGAGGUGGUGGAGGGGAUGGACAUCUCCACUCGAUCCAAAGAUCCUGGCUCUGCUGAACGCACAGCACAAAAAAGGAAAUUUCCCAGCCCUCCACAUUCCUCUAAUGGCCACUCACCACAAGAUGCAUCAACAAGUCCUAUAAAAAAGAAAAAGAAACCUGGUCUAUUGAACAGUAAUAAUAAAGAGCAGUCAGAACUAAGACAUGGUCCGUUUUACUAUAUGAAGCAGCCACUCACCACAGACCCUGUUGAUGUUGUACCGCAGGAUGGACGGAAUGAUUUCUAUUGCUGGGUUUGUCAUCGGGAAGGCCAAGUCCUCUGCUGCGAGCUCUGCCCGCGGGUUUAUCAUGCUAAGUGUCUGAAACUGACAGCCGAGCCAGAGGGGGAUUGGUUUUGCCCCGAGUGUGAGAAAAUCACAGUGGCAGAAUGCAUAGAAACACAGAGUAAAGCAAUGACAAUGCUCACCAUCGAACAGCUAUCAUAUCUACUGAAGUUUGCACUACAGAAAAUGAAACAGCCAGGGACAGAGCCAUUUCAAAAGCCAGUUUCACUGGAUCAACACCCAGAUUAUGCAGAAUAUAUCUUUCAUCCAAUGGACCUUUGUACAUUAGAGAAGAAUGUUAAAAAGAAAAUGUACGGUUGCACUGAAGCAUUUUUGGCUGAUGCCAAAUGGAUUUUGCACAACUGCAUUAUUUACAAUGGGGGAAAUCACAAAUUGACACAGACAGCAAAAGUCAUCAUCAAAAUCUGUGAGCAUGAGAUGAAUGAAAUCGAAGUUUGUCCGGAAUGUUAUUUAGCUGCUUGCCAAAAACGAGAAAAUUGGUUUUGUGAGCCUUGUAGCAAUCCCCACCCUUUGGUCUGGGCUAAACUCAAAGGCUUUCCAUUCUGGCCUGCUAAAGCACUGAGGGAUAAAGACGGGCAAGUCGAUGCCCGUUUCUUUGGCCAACAUGACAGGGCCUGGGUUCCAAUAAAUAAUUGCUACCUCAUGUCUAAAGAAAUUCCUUUUUCUGUGAAAAAGACUAAAAGCAUCUUCAAUAGUGCAAUGCAAGAAAUGGAGGUUUAUGUUGAUAACAUUCGUAGAAAAUUUGGAGUAUUUAACUACGCACCUUUCCGGACACCAUAUACUCCCAACAAUCAAUACCAAAUGUUGUUAGACCCUGCAAACCCAACUGCUGGAACUGCAAAGACAGACAAACAAGAGAAAAUCAAACUGAACUUUGAUAUGACAGCAUCACCCAAGAUUCUGAUGAGCAAGUCUAUGCUGAGCAGCAGCACAGGCCGUCGGAUUUCAUUGACAGAUAUGCCACGGUCACCAAUGAGUACAAACUCAUCAGUUCACACUGGCUCUGAUGUUGAACAGGAUGCAGAGAAAAAAGCAACUUCCAGUCAUUUUAGUGCCAGUGAAGAAUCCAUGGACUUUAUUGAGAAAAAUACAGCUUCUCCAGCACCAACGAGAACAGGGCAAGCAGGGAGCUUGUCAGGCAGCCCCAAACCUUUCUCUCCUCAAGCAUCAACACCAAUUUCUUCUAAGCAAGAACGAACCUCCACUCCAGGAAGCAUUCUGAAUCUUAAUCUUGACCGUAGCAAAGCUGAGAUGGAUCUGAAAGAACUGAGUGAGUCAGUCCAGCAGCAGAGCACUCCUGUGCAGCUCAUCUCCCCCAAACGACAGAUCCGGAGCAGGUUCCAGCUGAACCUGGACAAGACAAUAGAGAGCUGCAAAGCACAACUUGGAAUAAAUGAAAUAUCUGAAGCUGUUUAUACUGCAGUAGAACACAGUGACUCUGAAGAUUCUGAAAAAUCCGACACCAGUGACAGCGAAUACAGUGAUGAGGAUCAGAAAUCAAAGAAUGAUCAAGAAGAUGGUGAGGACAAGGAAGGUACAAGAAGUGACAAAGAAUCAUUGAGCUUGAAAAAAAAACCUAAGCCCCCAGCACAGAAUGAAGACAAGGAGGAACUUAAAAGCACAAGUCCAGAAGUGGAGAAAACAGAAGAACCGGUCAAGGAAAAGUCCAUUUCAGACACUGAAAAAGAAUUUUCCGAAAAGGGAAAAGGUUUACAGCAUCCUGCAAAAGAAAAGCUGAAAGGUAAAGAUGAAACAGACUCUCCAACUGUGCAUCUAGGACUGGACUCUGAUUCUGAGAGUGAACUUGUCAUCGAUCUAGGAGAUGAUCAUUGUGCUCGUGAAGGAAGGAAAAACAAGAAAGAAUCUAAAGAACCUUCUCCCAAACAAGAUGUUGUAGGUAAAACUCCACCCUCCUCCAGUGCAAGCACUCAGCCUCUACCAGAAACUCCAGUCCUCACCCGUUCUGCAGCCCAGACCCCCCCAGCUGGUGUGACAGCAACCACGAGUGCUGCUUCCACUGCCAGUGCUCCAUCUGCAGCCACAGGGAGCCCUGUGAAAAAGCAGAGGCCUUUGCUGCCCAAGGAAACUGCCCCUGCUGUGCAGCGGGUGGUGUGGAAUUCUUCCAAUAAAUUCCAGACAUCUUCUCAGAAAUGGCACAUGCAGAAGGUACAGAGGCAGCAGCAACAGCAGCAGAGCCAGCAGGCUCAGUCACAACAGCCUCAGUCCUCUCAAGGGACAAGAUACCAGACAAGACAAGCAGUUAAAGCUGUGCAGCAAAAAGAGAUCACCCAGAGCACUUCCACGUCCACUAUAACCUUAGUCACAAGCACUCAGCCUAUUUCUAUGGUUACCAGUUCUGGAUCUGCAAGUACACUUUCUUCCUCACUAAACACAGACCUGCCCAUUGCAACAGCUUCAGCUGAUGUGGCUGCAGAUAUUGCUAAAUAUACCAGCAAAAUGAUGGAUGCCAUCAAAGGAACAAUGACUGAAAUAUAUAAUGAUCUUUCAAAAAAUACUACUGGAAGUACAAUAGCUGAGAUUCGGCGUUUGAGGAUUGAGAUAGAAAAACUUCAAUGGCUACAUCAACAGGAACUCUCAGAAAUGAAGCAUAACCUAGAACUGACAAUGGCUGAAAUGCGUCAGAGCCUGGAGCAGGAACGAGAUCGUUUGAUUGCUGAGGUGAAGAAGCAGCUGGAACUGGAAAAGCAACAAGCAGUGGAUGAAACCAAGAAGAAGCAGUGGUGUGCCAACUGCAAGAAAGAGGCCAUCUUCUACUGCUGUUGGAAUACCAGCUACUGUGACUACCCCUGCCAACAGGCUCACUGGCCUGAGCACAUGAAAUCGUGCACGCAGUCAGCUACUGCGACACAGCAAGAAACAGAUACUGAAAUUAGCACAGAAACACUAAAUAAAUCAUCCCAGCCCAGUUCAAGUGUGCAGUCUACACCCACAGAAACAGCCAGCACCCCUAAGGAAAAGGAAGGUUCAGCUGAUAAAAGCAAAGAGAGCGUUACAGACCCAUCAGUGUAGCUUCUGGUCUGGAUCUUUCGAUACAAGUUGCCUUCUGAUAAGCAAUACUGACUGCAGCACUUCCAAGCCCUUCUUGCCUGGGGGUUCAGAGGCCAAGCUCAAGACCUGCAUUCAAAUCAACUUACUUUAUCACCACAGACUGUCAUUAGGGUACCACAAUGUUCCAUGACACUGAUACAACAGUUCACCUGGAUCUACGGUUAACGGAGCAGUUCCGAAAUCCUCCAUAGCAUCUACUCUGAUAGUAUUCAGUAGGCAAGGAUGAGCAAAUGCUCUAAUAAAAGGGACUUAACAUUGCAUAUAUAGAAAAUGUUUAUAGAGAAGAUUCUGCUUUAUAGGUAGGGCUUGAACUAUUAGCAAUUUCGGCAUCAUUUUUUUUUUUCUCCCCUUGCAAGAUUUAUUAAAUGAAAAAUUUUAGUGGGGAGGGGGGGCUGAUCCUUCAAACCCUUACACAUGAUCCUGCACAUCAGUAGGAGCCUUGUUGUAUUUUAAAAUAUUAAAGGCAAACUAAUUUUGUAGUAUUGUGAUUCCAGCAUGAUGUCUCAUUGAGAUAGUCCUGUAGAAUUGGGAAGCAUAGUAAUCUAGAGAGCUGUGUUCAUUUCUUGACACUUUUGCUACUGUCUGGUGUUAGAUCUCUGGGCUUGACAUGUCACCUAAGGGAGUAACUUGGGGAAACAGAUUUGAAGAGGGGGAAAAAGGAUGUGCUGUUCCACUUGAAUACUUUGAUGAAGUUGGUUAAACUCUGGCUCAUUCAGUUGAUGUUUGUUUGCAUUGUUCUGGUGGCACAAGCUUUAUAUUACCGGGGAAAUAGGGAAUGUGAGACCUAAAGCUUGCCAGGGAAUAUUCCAGUUAUACAAAUCUGGAAUUUCACAUAGGUGUUCUGCCUGAAACAUCAUGCUGUAUACAUGGAUCAUGUUCACAAUUUGAAUUUUGUUUUAUUAACAAAGAAGUAACCUGUGAAUUCAUUGAGAUGCAGAUUUUUAACACAAAGAAAACAUCCAACAUAAAUUUCCUAUCGUAGUAACAACAACUAGGUGGAAUUUAUGUAAAAGCUGAGGCUUCUACUGAGGUUGCCCGUGCUGUCUCUGCAGAUAGCAACAGGUGUGACAAGCAACCAGCCUAUAAAACUGGUCCAGGUACCACAGACCACCACCUAUAUUCCAGCUACUCAACCCACAAUUACCAUUCCUGUAGUGGUAAGUCCUUCUGCUGGGACAGUGGCAAUGAGAACUGGAGUUCAGUAUGUUCAGACCACAAUGCCAGUCCAAGUACGAAGAGUCUAACUGCUAACAAGAAGUCCAAACAAUUGUUGGAAUAAAUAAGUCUAAUAGAAAUGUGAAAAAUAAACACAGUUCUUUGGAUUAACCUCAAAGGUUCAGACUUUAGCUUUGUGUAUGUGUACAAAGCAUUAAUUACACUACAUUAAUGUAAAGCAUUAGUGCUGGCUUAGAAAAGCUGAGGACAGGUAAGAUCCAUAUUAAAUCUAUGCUUCUUUUGUAAAUAAUGUACAAUUUGUGGAUGUCAUUAGAGUACCAUCUCCUUUUUAUAUUUGUAUUGACUUUAACUUAUAAAGAGUGUCUGAAGUUGGAAAGGGAAGGUUUAAAACAGCCUUAUCACAACCUAAUGCUGAAAACUGGUCUUGGGAAACUGCAGUUAUGCAUCAAAUAAUACUAAGAAUCUGAACAUCUGUCUUUGCAUUUGGAUUGAAAAAAAUUUCUGCACUUUGAAACUCUUGUAGAGUUUCUUUGAACAACCAAGUGAUGAAGGAUGAUACCUUUUUUCAGUUGACUGCAUCAGGCAAAUUAUGACAUUUCCAAUCUGUGGAUCUGAAACACAAAGAUUUACGUUGUUUUUUUCAUAAUGACCAGACUAACAAAAAUUUCAUUUAGUCUAAGAUCAGAAAAGUUGGAAAGCGUAAUAGCAGCUGGUUGUAGAACGGUUUCUGAUCACUGAUAUCGAAGACUGAGGAAAGUAAAAUUUGUUCCUGUGCUUCUUUUUUUUUAAAAAAAUUCUCCCAAAGGACUUUGAACAAGAAUUAGGUGUGGAGAAAAACACGGAUCAGGAAACACGGGCAAAGGACUUUUGAUGCUGGGCCAGAGCAUGUGUUAUUUAUAUGAUGGAAUUUCUGUUUUUCUGUAAGCAUGAAGCAGUGCAGUACGAGAGGAGCUCCCCCUGCAGAUGCUGUCUGUUACACUGAGACUGUAGUCCCAUUUUGUAUGUUGUGUAAAACGAAAGCAUUGAACAAAGCAAAGGUGAUGUAUGUAUAUGAGAAAAUUAACUGUAUGAUAUCAUUCCAGUACAUUCUGUUGUACAUUUUAGUCAUGUUGAUUUCUCCCAUUGUUUAUAUAAGAAUGCGGUUUGUACAGUCUCCAGCUAGUCCCCAGAUUAGAGGGAAAAAAGUAUUAGAAGGAAAAAAAAAAAAAGGCAAGAACAGAAUAUUCAUUAAUUGCAGUUGUGUCAAAACUAGCCUAGCUGGCCUUAUUUGUGAAGCAUAAUUGCUUUUAGCAUAUGGAAGUAUUUUUUCACAUUUUCUUUGUAUAAAAUUUGUAUUAAACUUAAAUAUCUUU
This is an RNA transcript of Lepidothrix coronata (blue-crowned manakin), 6866 nucleotides long. It is a transcript of the gene named zinc finger MYND-type containing 8, with no coding region annotated. The transcript has 22 exons. The record is from RefSeq and is a predicted model, not a curated record. Lineage: Eukaryota; Metazoa; Chordata; Aves; Passeriformes; Pipridae.